UGAGAUCAAUCUUGUUCUCUGGGGUGCUCGAGCCCAUGAGUUUGAGGUGGAAGAAAUCCGUGCUGCAAGUGAAUCUGAAGCUGUCAUUGCUAUCUUUGUAGGAACACUGCCAAAACAAUACCGAGGUGUUAAAGGACUGAGUGGUACUUCUGCCUGCCGCUGGUAUAUUGAUGAGGACUUGCCAGAGAUGAAUGCCUUCCGUGCUAGCCUGGUUCAAGGACUUCCUGCUAUCGCUUCUCACGUUACAGGAGACCAGGCACUUGUUCCAGCACCUGUUCGUGAACCUCCUGUUGAAUUGAGUGUUCGGGAGUUGCUUGCCCUUGAUUCGUUUGACAAUAUGAAGAAACAGUUCAUCGUUAAAGUUACUAUCACAAAGUUAGGCUCUGACAACCUUUGGUGGUUUCUCUCAUGUCGGGCAUGCCAUAAGACAUCAUACAUCUCUGGGAGACAGUACCGUUGCUCAGACUAUGGCUGUUCUUCUGUUACAGCAGAUCCCUCGUACUGUCUGUGUACCUCUGGAAGCGAUGGCGCAGAUGAGGUGGAAUUUAUAUUCUUUGAUAGAGCAGCAAAAAGCAUCGUUGGCAAGCCACUCAUGACUUUGAUUUAUCGCAAGUACCCGGGUUUUACAACUGCACUUAAUCUUGCUCAGAUAGGAGGUGCCGAUGUAGGUUUUCCAGUUGAAAUUUCCCGACUUGUUACCCAGAAAUACAGGCUUGUCGUUUCUAUCUCCACUAAAAGCUUUCAGCCUACAAGCACCCAGCUGUAGUUCCAAGUUGGUAGAAUUGAUGAAACCUUUAAGCCUGAGCUUGUGCCCUUUGCAAUUGUCGGUGUGUCAUGCGUCUCUGGGGCAUCAUCUUCUACUGAGGGCUCAGACAUAGCAGUGUCCAUACCCACCUCUUUUGCUACAGGAUCAUCUACACUUGUUGUGCUGCCUCCUGAUGAGUUGAACACUCCUAUAUCUGCAUUCAAAGGAAAAGGACAGACUGUUAUGCCGAAAACUCCCAGUAAAUCACCGUGCCCAAAAAGUGCUCGCCGCAAACUCUGUCUUGGACCCUCUAAAUCUAAGGAUGCUGAGAUUUCUACCUCUGCUACCAAGGUGGCCACCGAAACUGAAGAGGCUCCCAUUGCUGGAAAUGUUGUUCAGCCUGCACCCAUGCCAGAUGUUAAACAGGGAACUGAAGGUGCAGUUGCUGAGGAUCCAAAGGCCACCCUUCUUGACCCCUCUAAGCUCAAAAGAACAAACAAUACUGGCAAGGGGGCUGGCAUACCAAAGAAACCAAAGCAGUAGUUCUUCCAUGGAUCAGUCCUUCCAUGGCGUAAUCUAGAUAUGUACAUACGGGUAUCUUCUAUGUUCUGCUUGCUUGUCAAUGAAAGUCUAUGUUGGAGAGGUGCCCUGUUGAACAAAUCUUAUCAGCUCUACUGCACCAUAACAACAGCCUGGCUAUCGGGUUUGAAGAUCAUCAAGUCAACGUACUUUUGGGUGUGAACUGGAUUUAUUUUGUGCAACUUUAUAAGGCAGGGCUUUCACACACGUGAAACUGUGUCAAGCCACUGUCAUGACAAUUCCUCUAUUUAAGUCCUGGCCAAGUCAAGUAUCAUGCGUUGUAAAUAUCGCCGUUAGCUCCUCCUGUCUUAUCUCCUUGUGACAAUUUCUACCAAUUGUAAAUGCCGCUCGGUCAUGUUCCGUACUCUAA
Long non-coding RNA from Triticum dicoccoides, 1694 nucleotides. RefSeq lists it as uncharacterized. The transcript is spliced from 10 exons. The record is from RefSeq and is a predicted model, not a curated record. Lineage: Eukaryota; Viridiplantae; Streptophyta; Magnoliopsida; Poales; Poaceae.